UCUAGUGGCAAUUUCAUUGUAAUACAUAAAAGGGUGUAAACAGAUUUUUAACAAGGUGUGAGCCUAACAGUCAAUUCUGGCAUGAGUCAAUUGGGCUGAUGUCAGUAGAAUCAGAGUUACAGUGGUAUUACUGAAAGAAAAAUUUCAUCCAAAUGAAUUUUUAAAUGCAUUGCCAAUAACCAUAAAAAAGAAUCAUAGAAUCAUUAAAGUUGGAAAAGACUUCAAGAUCAUCAAGUUCAACCUUUGACUGAACAACAGCUUAAACUGAACCAUACAUUAGAAUUGUCUUACGGUCUUAGAUGACAACUUUCAAUCAACCUCCCAUUAAAGUGACCUUCAGUGACCAUGGCACAGGCAUUCCAAAUCAUCAGUGCAAAAAGCAAGCACAGAAGUUUCUAUAUGAUGUUGCUUAUUUCAGGGUCUGAGAGACCCCGGUGAAUUGGUGCAUGAGAAAAGGGUACUCCCCUCCUCCUCUCACAGACUUAACCUGCAAUUACUGCAAUAAAAUACUGUAGGAGUCCCAGAAAUAUAAUUCUAAAAGAAAUUAAAAAUAAUAUGCAUAAAAAUCUGAACAGGAUAAGAACAGACAUUCUUUUUUAGAACAAGGACCAAGCCCAGAUCCAUGACAACGGGGGGCCAUGCAAGCAUCUUAUCUCUGAUGUUAAUGAUCAGUAAAAGAGACUUAAGGCAAGAAUUACAAAAGGAGAAGAGAAGAGAAGAGAAGAGAAGAGAAGAGAAGAGAAGAGAAGAGAAGAGAAGAGAAGAGAAGAGA
This is a long non-coding RNA of Motacilla alba alba, 772 nucleotides long. RefSeq lists it as uncharacterized. The transcript is spliced from 4 exons. Lineage: Eukaryota; Metazoa; Chordata; Aves; Passeriformes; Motacillidae. The record is from RefSeq and is a predicted model, not a curated record.